UCCCAUUUUAUCCUUAUCAUCCCAUGAAUCGUUCUCUUUCAAUCUAGCUUUAUGAUUGAAUCUCUACAGCCACAAACGAAUUCAGUUCUUUCGUAUUUCCUCCAUCAAUUGUUACUGGUCAUUCAUACCUGAUUCAAUACACCAAUUUAAUUCCGAGAUACAUUUCAUACCGGCAAUUAUUUAACAUCGAAUCCAUCAUGGAACUGGGUACUCAUUUGCAGAAGACAAUGGAGAAGGGGAAACCAAGCACGGCCUCCGGCCGGCCACCUGAAACUCGCAAUAACAAGGACAGAUACGUUUUUGCAGUUUGAUGCUCUAAUUGGUACUGUGAUUUCAAUUAUUCGCCUCAAUCCACAAAACUUUCUUUUGAAUUCGCUUGCUUUCCUCUGUUUCGGUUGAUUAAUCGAACACCCGUUUCGAUUUCACAGUGUUUGUUUUUGAAUUUUCAGUUUAGCCGAUUAGGGUUUUGGCAUGAUACUCAAGAGGAAGUUGAAAUAGACAAUUCUAAUUUAAUCAAGUGCAGUUUUUCCGACUAUGGUUCAAAGCAACAUUUGCACCUUUUCGAUAUAUAUGUGUUAUUGCUUAUUCUGUUUCUAAAUCUCUGAAAGAUAAGUCCAUUAAGCCUUCAAUUUAUGUUUUUUAUUCCUCCAGCAAAUUUCAAGGUUAAAUUGAGCAAAUUCAAGGUUAAGAUAGGGUUCCUCUCACUCUAUGAAUCCGCCGGUGAUGGUAGAAAUGGGUUUUGGCCUUUCAGCUAAAGAACCGAUGUUUGUGCAAGAUUCUGAAUUUUCAGGUUUUGAGUUUGUAUGAUUCGCAAAAAAAAACCAUACAAAUUCAAGUUUAUUGAUGGGUGAUGAUGGGUUUAACCAAACAUAAGCGACCAUUUACGUAACCCUAAAGCACAUCCCACUUGAAUCUGUACAGAGCGAUCUAUCUUCCGUCUAAUCAAGUUGUUGCGUGUUUGGAUCUUGAACGCAUAAACAGUAAUCUGGUAAUUCUAUUGCUAAUUAGCUACUUAUCUGUUGAUGUUCUACUUUUAUUUUAUUAUUUAUGUAAGGUUGGUUAGUCAAUGAUUCAAUUCAGGCUAUUUAGCUAAACAAUUAAUAACUGAAAAUUAGGGCCUUUUUGCUACUUUUUAAUUGAAUUUAUGUUUGAUUUAGGUUUCUGUUAGUGAUCGUAUGCACAGAUAAUUAUUGACUUUUUAGUUUUUACUAAUCCCACAUCAUGAUAUGUUUUUGUGUGACAUUAGUUGUGAAGCUGGAUGAAAUUGUGUUUAAAGUUGUUAAAUUUAUGAAUUGUCAUAGAUCUUGAUGUUGAAAGUUGGGGCCAUUUGGUAUAUAUCGUUUUUUAUAAAGACUUUGAUCCAUUUAAGUUUAUUCAUGGUCCAGGAAAUAAGUCAGGAUGGGUUAUAUGGUUAUCGGGUCGGUGUAAACCGGGUUAAUUAAAUGGUUGGAAAGAGCUACAAUUUGGUGGUCUUUAAUGGGCUGCAAAAGUGAUUAAACAAUGGUUGCGAUUAGUGGGCUGUAUAGGGCUAAAAUAAUGGAUGGACUCAAGGUUUAAAAAAACGGAAACGAGUUUCGAGGCGUUUUCCCUUCGCCUCACGAGGCGUAAGCCUGCUGAGGCGUAACCCCGAGACGGAGUUAAUAAAUAAUUGUAACUAAAUUCAUCAUCAAAUUCAUCAAAAUUAAUCAAAAACACACAUAAAAAAGACACAAAUUGCUUGAAAUUAACACAAAAACUCAAAAACAUCAAAAACAAAUAUCAAAAACCCCUGAGGCGCAGCCUUUUUAGCGCCUCAGCUGCGCCUCAGCCCCUCUGAGGCGCACAUACAGUAUAAACCCCCUGAGGCGCGCCUCAGAAUCGUCUUUUGGCCGUUUCGCCUUGAGGCGCACGCCUCAACCGUUUUUUAAAACCAUGGAUGGAAUUAUGGAAAAUAACUUACAUGGCUGCAUAUUUGGUUAGUGGACUGCAUAUUUACUGCCAUUUGGUCUGCAUAUAUACAUGGCUACCAAAACAAUUUACAUUUCUUGGGUUUGAGAUGUUAUCUAUCAAUACAUCUGUGCUCUACAAUUUUUGACACCAUUAUUUGAAUUUAUACCUCAGGUAUGUUAUUUAAUAAUGACAUCAUUGUUAUAUUUUUUUAAUAGUCCUUAAAUCCUAACGACAUGUUUACAAUUUAAGAACCUCUUGUGGUUUUUUUUCACUUUUGCAGUGCGCUCUUGCUGCUAUUGUCAUCUUUGUUGUCACCCAGCAAGCCUGAGUCUGGGGUAAAUCCCACCUCCGAGGUGAUCCCACCUCGCAGACCGCCACCCAGCAAGCCUGAAUCUGGGGGUAAAUCCGCUACCGUAGGGGCAUUGGGAACGAGCAAGACUCGAACCCGCCACCUCCGGGUUAGAAUGCGGGCUGGUGGCCAUUGGGCUGACACCUAAUGGUAUCCUUGUUGGGGUGAGCUACAGUUUCUGUAUUGCAUACUUCUUGUUGUGAUGGUUAUAAAGAAAAGCUAAAUUAGCGUUUUUUGUGGGUCCGCCCAACCGGCCGUGCCACAUUCUAAAGACGGCUUGGUUGUGAAAUCUUGAAGAAGAUGUUUCUUUAUUAAUUUGAUUAUAGUUUAUAGCGAUGACGGAGUUAUAGCAUCCUUUAAUGUCCUAAACGGGGCGGUGAUUCCUUUUGGUCCGUGGAACCUGACGUGCAAUGUGCGGCAUAAAAACAUAAAUAUACGCGGCAACGCGCGGGCAUUCCCUUAUUUCAACUGUAAAAACUGGUUAGUUUUAAGUGAUGCAACAUCUCAAAGUGUUAGAAUGGUAGAUCUCUAUGUAAAAAGUAAAAACUAAUUCGUUAGUCCUGAGGUUAAGAUUUGAUCCUAGAAAGGCAAUUACAAAGUCUGGUAAGACUAUCAUCUGAUCAUUAUUUACCGUCUUUUGUUAUAUCAUCAGGUUAUAUCUUCAUUAACGGUGUCUUUGAGGUUUGAUGGGGCUUUGAAUGUGGAUGUAACUGAAUACCUGUUUUGAAAUGUAGGAUUAAUCAUCAGCCUCCAACAGUGGUUCCUGGUGGUGAUCUUCCAAAGGUGCAGAGAGUUGUUUAUGAUUUCUAACUCUACAAGUGUGGCUGAGGUUCUCUCACAUUGACCAUAAGUUCAACUUUCUACAAUUUCACUGUAGUUUGUGUUUACCAGGCAUGUCAUUGGCAUCACUGCUGAUGAUGAGUCCCUAGAAAUUGCAUGGUAAUUUAUUGCAUUUAUAUCGUUUAGCAUUCAAGAUUCUUGUAGUUGUAUAAUUGAUAUACACGAUGGAUUUUUAUAUUCAUGUAUAUAGAACUUAGUAUGUUAUC
Long non-coding RNA from Helianthus annuus (common sunflower), 3324 nucleotides. RefSeq lists it as uncharacterized. The record is from RefSeq and is a predicted model, not a curated record. Lineage: Eukaryota; Viridiplantae; Streptophyta; Magnoliopsida; Asterales; Asteraceae. The transcript is spliced from 2 exons.